UGGGGAAUAUUGGUCAAUGGGCGGGAGCCUGAACCAGCCAAGCCGCGUGAGGGAUGAAGGCCCUAUGGGUCGUAAACCUCUUUUGUCAGGGAACAAAAGCGAGUAUGUAUACUAGUCUGAGUGUACCUGAAGAAAAAGCAUCGGCUAACUCCGUGCCAGCAGCCGCGGUAAUACGGAGGAUGCGAGCGUUAUCCGGAUUUAUUGGGUUUAAAGGGUGCGUAGGCGGCGAUGCAAGUCAGCGGUAAAAGCCCGGGGCUCAACCCCGGCGAGCCGUUGAAACUGCAGUGCUAGAGAAGGCGAGAGGUACGCGGAAUGCGCAGUGUAGCGGUGAAAUGCUUAGAUAUUGCGCAGAACUCCGAUUGCGAAGGCAGCGUACUGGCGCCUGACUGACGCUGAGGCACGAAAGCGUGGGGGAUCGAACAGGAUUAGAUACC
This 434-nucleotide ribosomal RNA is filed under the name uncultured bacterium. RNAcentral describes it as "bacterial SSU rRNA". It matches the Rfam family "Bacterial small subunit ribosomal RNA", at positions 355 to 786 of the family's 1533-position model. The record is from RNAcentral.